UGGGGAAUUUUGGACAAUGGGCGCAAGCCUGAUCCAGCCAUGCCGCGUGCAGGAUGAAGGCCUUCGGGUUGUAAACUGCUUUUGUACGGAACGAAAAGUCUCUUUCUAAUAAAGAGGGAUCAUGACGGUACCGUAAGAAUAAGCACCGGCUAACUACGUGCCAGCAGCCGCGGUAAUACGUAGGGUGCAAGCGUUAAUCGGAAUUACUGGGCGUAAAGCGUGCGUAGACGGUUAUCUAAGUCAGGUGUGAAAGCCCCGGGCUCAACCUGGGAAUUGCAUUUGAGACUGAAUAGCUAGGGUGCGGAAGAGGGAAGCGGAAUUUCCGGUGUAGCGGUGAAAUGCGUAGAUAUCGGAAGGAACACCAGUGGCGAAAGCGGCUUCCUGGUCCAGCACCGACGUUCAGGCACGAAAGCGUGGGGAGCAAACAGGAUUAGAUACCCUGGUAGUCCACGCCAUAAACGAUGAGAACUAGACGUUGAGAGGGUAAGCCUCCCAGUGUCGAAGCUAACGCGAUAAGUUCUCCGCCUGGGGAGUACGGCCGCAAGGUUG
RNAcentral lists this ribosomal RNA (549 nucleotides) under uncultured bacterium. RNAcentral's name for it is "bacterial SSU rRNA". It matches the Rfam family "Bacterial small subunit ribosomal RNA", at positions 355 to 896 of the family's 1533-position model. The record is from RNAcentral.